Molecule: ribosomal RNA, 390 nt
Filed under: Cephalophorus ogilbyi (Ogilby's duiker)
Lineage: Eukaryota; Metazoa; Chordata; Mammalia; Artiodactyla; Bovidae
Description: partial 12S ribosomal RNA
Rfam family: Bacterial small subunit ribosomal RNA
Source: RNAcentral
UUAGCCCUAAACACAAAUAAUUAUAAAAACAAAAUUAUUCGCCAGAGUACUACCGGCAACAGCCUAAAACUCAAAGGACUUGGCGGUGCUUUACACCCUUCUAGAGGAGCCUGUUCUAUAAUCGAUAAACCCCGAUAGACCUCACCAAUUCUUGCUAAUACAGUCUAUAUACCGCCAUCUUCAGCAAACCCUAAAAAGGAACAAAAGUAAGCAUAAUCACAACACAUAAAAACGUUAGGUCAAGGUGUAACCUAUGAAAUGGGAAGAAAUGGGCUACAUUUUCUACCACAAGAAAAUUACACGAAAGUUAUUAUGAAACUAAUAACCAAAGGAGGAUUUAGUAGUAAACUAAGAAUAGAGUGCUUAGUUGAAUUAGGCCAUGAAGCACGC